This is a long non-coding RNA of Cheilinus undulatus (humphead wrasse), 681 nucleotides long. RefSeq lists it as uncharacterized. The transcript has 3 exons. Lineage: Eukaryota; Metazoa; Chordata; Actinopteri; Labriformes; Labridae. The record is from RefSeq and is a predicted model, not a curated record.
CCUAAAUGAACUAGGAACAAACAUAAGUGCUGUGUGGCGUAACCGCUCCUCCCUCGGUACAAAACGUCUCAUGGCAUGUCGAAUUUGACAAGGAUCCAGGAGCAGAGCAUGAGGACUCUGUGGUAUAAUGUGAUGGUUAACACACGUCCUGAUGCUUGUUGUUGUUGUUGGAGAGAUCUUCAGUGUUGUGGUGACACGGCCUUGUUCAGAGUCACUGCCGCUCUCCUAUCAGCAAACACAGCACUGACCUUCGCACCCACUCAGCUUUAUAGCCUCUGUACAGUGUUAGGCUGUAGCUGGCGGCCUGGUAAGUGAAGCGUUACAGCAGGCAUGUAUGGACUGUCAGAGAGGAGCAACAAGGGUGGAAAAAAGUCACAUCAGCUGGAGUGACAGCGCUGGUUAAUUUGCUGUGGCUUUAAGCAGCGUACACAUACAUGGGCAUGGAGAAAGGCUUUUCACAGACUUUCUCCUCUCCAGAGUAUCGCUCCCAGAAUAUAGGUGACCCUGUGACCAUGGGCUGUUUAACUGAAUAGGUCCCAAAGGUUGCUGUUGCUGACAUUAGCGCUGGACCAUCACCAGCAGAGGCAGCAUGAACAACACUUUUGUGUUGUUAAGCUGCAGAUUUAUCACCUACUUUUUCCUGUUUUAAACAGUCCAAGCAGAAUGUGAAAGCUCCUCAAA